Molecule: ribosomal RNA, 451 nt
Filed under: uncultured bacterium
Lineage: Bacteria
Description: bacterial SSU rRNA
Rfam family: Bacterial small subunit ribosomal RNA
Source: RNAcentral
ACUCCUACGGGAGGCAGCAGUGGGGAAUAUUGCACAAUGGGGCGCAAGCCUGAUGCAGCAACGCCGCGUGAACGAAGAAGGCUUUCGGGGUACGUAAAGUUCUUUUCUUAGGGAAGAAAGAUGACGGUACCUAAGGAAUAAGCACCGGCUAAAUACGUGCCAGCAGCCGCGGUAAUACGUAUGGUGCAAGCGUUAUCCGGAAUCACUGGGCGUAAAGGGUACGUAGGCGGUGAUGCAAGUCAGAAGUGAAAGGCUACGGCUCAACCGUAGUAAGCUUUGAAACUGCAUGACUAGAGUUCAGGAGAGGUAAGUGGAAUUCCUAGUGUAGAGGUGAAAUUCGUAGAUAUUAGGAGGAACACCAGUGGCGAAGGCGACUUACUGGACUGAUACUGACGCUGAGGUACGAAAGCGUGGGGAGCGAACAGGAUUAGAUACCCGUGGUAGCGACUGA